This 163-nucleotide ribosomal RNA is filed under the name Escherichia coli. RNAcentral describes it as "partial 23S ribosomal RNA". It matches the Rfam family "Bacterial large subunit ribosomal RNA", at positions 1 to 155 of the family's 2925-position model. Lineage: Bacteria; Pseudomonadati; Pseudomonadota; Gammaproteobacteria; Enterobacterales; Enterobacteriaceae. The record is from RNAcentral.
GGGUUGUGAGGUUAAGCGACUAAGCGUACACGGUGGAUGCCCUGGCAGUCAGAGGCGAUGAAGGACGUGCUAAUCUGCGAUAAGCGUCGGUGAGGUGAUAUGAACCGUUAUAACCGGCGAUUUCCGAAUGGGGAAACCCAGUGUGUUUCGACACACUAUCAUU